Molecule: long non-coding RNA, 3153 nt
Organism: Sardina pilchardus (European sardine)
Lineage: Eukaryota; Metazoa; Chordata; Actinopteri; Clupeiformes; Clupeidae
Exons: 4
Source: RefSeq, a predicted model, not a curated record
UGGACUGUCGAGUAAGCAGUCUGGCUGGCGGUAGCAUUGCUGCGGCUGGAAUGGGGGGCUUGGCCCCGGGCCAAUUGUGGUUAGAAUGGCUCAGCGUAGAGUGUAACUAACUACCAAGUUUAACGUUUGGUAGGUGACUCAACGUCGCCUUCUACGGGGCCGCAGUGCCCAGUGAGGCUGUGCUAAUUCUUUUGAGCACGGUAGCUUGGCUAACUAAUAUCCAUUCAACUGAAUGACCUGCUUUUUGCAUGAUAUUGCUGUGCAACAGCAAUUCUGAGUCAGAACUGGACGACAAUGAAGGGGUGUUGUACUCCCCUCACUGCUCUCUGGCGCGCCGGGUCUGCAGUGGAGCUGUUACCAGAGGAUUUCGGAAGCAGUAUCUAACUGGAGCAAUGGGACGCUUCCUGAGUGGCAACAUCAGAGUCCCGUUGUCUUCUGCAAUGGAGGAGAGCAGCGAUGAAAACUUAACAUUCCUUUCACCUGAUGUUGGAUAGAUGUUUUUUUUUUUUAAGAUCAUAAAAAACACCUACCGGGGAGUGUUUACCCCCAUCUUGUAACCUUUUAAUUUCCUUAGGCGUUUUUUGUGCGUCUUUGUUUUCUUGUUUGUUUGUUUUUUUUUGGCUGACUGAUGGUAUGAGGUAAAGCUUUACCAUGAGAAUGGGACGUGGUUCCCAUCUGUAUGUCAGGUUUUUAUUUCAUUAAUGUGUUAGGAAUACUCGGGACUCUAAGCCUUGAUGAUAUUUUAACCUUCUUGGGGGGGGGGAGGGGUGGGGGGUUUGGUGGGAGAGACGCCAAAAAAAAGACACAAAGCAACCUGAGGUAGAGCUGAGGAGGAGGCUGGAGCUGACCUAGAAGCCCAUGCGUCUGUGUUUACAAGCCCCACGGGUUGCCCGGUGUGGCCGACAGCGCUUGCAGCAGCAUGUCUUCCACUUGUCCACUCAAUACACUUUGCACUGCUUGUUUCAUUUGCCACAUCCACCGUACAUAUCGCUCUGUUCGUAAACCCCAGGAACCAUCGUCGACAUUUGUCAGGAGUCCCAACACCUGAUUUUGAAAAAAUGUAUUCAAGCCUAACACAGAUCUUGUAUUUGUUAAUUCAUCCCUCCCCCGGUUUAUAUGCUUGUUCACAAAGAAAAAAAACUUUGAUCAGGGUCACAAAAGGGUCUGCGUUAAUUGUGUAUGUAAGUUGUACGCCAGUUAAAACAUGUGCACCUGUUUUAUGAAAGAGAUGGCAAAAACCUCACAAAUCCUACAGAGAACAAAACACUCUACGGUCUACAGGCACACACUCCAUGUGUGCCCACAACCAGCUUUCCUGUGUCAUACACUAAAGGUCUAUGUUUAACCUCAUACGGACACUAUACAGAUUAUCUGACGUCACUAUCCACACUCUUGACAGUUAUUUACUGAGGCUAAGAGUCCCUGCUUACCAUGUAUUUUACUAAGUGCUUUCGGAGAUCAUGGUGUGUUCAUUUUGUUUUGUUAUUAGAAUGUUGCUUUUUACUUUUAUUUUUUAUUUUAUUUUUUUUUGGUUAUGUUUGCUUUGCUAGUAUAAAAAAAGAUAUCUAUAAUCAUGUGCGUUGUGAUAUAGAAGUAGCUGUAGAAAUGCAUUGUUUCCUUGUGGUAAGUGAUUGAGAUGCUGCCACGGAUUUGAGACACUGAUGAAUGGUGCUAUUUUGGACUUUAAUCUGCUCCUUGGUAAGGUAGCUCUGGUGGGUUUCGUUUUAUAUUUUCAUGUUCUGAGAAGGUGUUGGUUCUUUGUGGUCUGGUUGUUGUAACUUGGUCUGGAUUGACUGGUUUUGUUUUGGGUUUUUUUCUGUCGUUUUUUUCUGUGCGGCUUUCUCAUUGGAUUUAUGGGUGAAACAAACAAAAAAGAUAAAAAUAGGCAGAGGUGAUAUAUUUUCAGAAGGUGGAGAUCCAAUCACUUGUGGAGGGUGGGAGCAAUCACAAAACUGCAAUCCUUUGAAAGAGCUGUUUUGCCCCUCAGCACAGAUUAGACUUGGAUAUGAUAGUUAUAGGCUAGUUCCCAGCACAGGUCACUUUUAGGAAAUGUAAUUCUCCCUUCUUUUUAUGUGCCACAUGGAGAGUCACAUAAACUAUAUAUUAAAAAGUGUAUAUUGUGGCGCAGUACUGUCCUGAGUACAUCACCCUGAUAUUUGCACAUUGCAUAUUAAGACUGCUUCCAUCAAUCAAUCAAUUAAUCAAUUAAUCAGUCAGUUAAAGGAAACUCUGAACACAUGCCACAGCUUUAGAUGAGCUUUUUGCUUCUUCCAUUGCUUUGCAUAGUUUAGAGGCUAUAAUGUUGUGGGGCUGGGGGAGGGUACAAAAUGGUGGACCAUUUUACCCACAGUCCCCUUGAAAAAUCCAUGCACCUUCGUCAGACGGCACUCGUUUGGGGUUCAGGGUGUUAGUUGCUGCAUCUUAACCAGCAGGCGAUGGAUGACCUGUACAUCUAGAAGUUAACUGGUCAGACAGUCAAACUGAAAUUGUGAUGCACAUAAUUUUUUUUAGAAAUGCAUUUUUCCAAAUAUGUAGCAUAAAGAAGCUGAACAAUCUUCAUAAUAACUUACCUAUUUUGUAAAGUAAUGUUUAAAAAGAAUUUUCUUUGAUAAAAUAUGAACCAAAAAGCUUUCUAUGAAUUAUUUUGGCUAGUGAGGUUAACUUAACAGAGUAUUGUUAUUCAGUAUUUGCAGUUUUGUCUUUGCUUCCUGGCUAUUCAUACUUUUAACUGUCUCAAUAUGAUGACCAACUUGAAAGCCCACGUUAGUUUCUUUGUCUUCCAGUAUUACAUUAGAAUGGGGGGCCCUCCUAGCUUAUUGUAGUCUUUCCUUGACUUGAAUAUUCUGUCCACUUGCAUGUUCUGUGCUGUUUUGUUUUUCUUCAGUACUUCUUUUUCAAAUAUUCUUCCUCAUAGACUAGGUAUGCCAGCUGUCUUGUAUAUAGCAAGUGACUAGUGUAGGCAGGGUCUGCAACAGUAUGAGAUAUUCUGUAUUAUUGAAUGUGUAUGAUUGGUUUAAAAACCUAAUGGAAAAAAAGAAAAACACACAAAGCCAGCUUAGUUACAAUAUCUUAAUAAUGAUGCACUGAUAGUAUUCCAUGUAUUUUUUGCAAAUUUAGCUGUAGUUAAAUAAAUUUGCAAGCUUUGAAAAAUCA